UACGUAGGUGGCGAGCGUUAUCCGGAAUUAUUGGGUGUAAAGGGAGCGCAGGCGGAAUGGCAAGUUGAAUGUGAAAUCCAGGGGCUCAACCCCUGAACUGCGUUCAAAACUGCUGUUCUUGAGUGAUGUAGAGGUAGGCGGAAUUCCCGGUGUAGCGGUGGAAUGCGUAGAUAUCGGGAGGAGCACCAGUGGCGAAGGCGGCCUACUGGGCAUCAACUGACGCUGAGGCUCGAAAGUAUGGGGAGCAAACAGG
Molecule: ribosomal RNA, 253 nt
Filed under: uncultured bacterium
Lineage: Bacteria
Description: partial 16S ribosomal RNA
Rfam family: Bacterial small subunit ribosomal RNA
Source: RNAcentral